This 65-nucleotide transfer RNA is filed under the name Gastrimargus marmoratus. Its description in RNAcentral is "tRNA-Pro". It matches the Rfam family "tRNA". Rfam says of the family: Transfer RNA (tRNA) molecules are approximately 80 nucleotides in length. Their secondary structure includes four short double-helical elements and three loops (D, anti-codon, and T loops). Further hydrogen bonds mediate the characteristic L-shaped molecular structure. tRNAs have two regions of fundamental functional importance: the anti-codon, which is responsible for specific mRNA codon recognition, and the 3' end, to which the tRNAs corresponding amino acid is attached (by aminoacyl-tRNA synthetases). tRNAs cope with the degeneracy of the genetic code in two manners: having more than one tRNA (with a specific anti-codon) for a particular amino acid; and 'wobble' base-pairing, i.e. permitting non-standard base-pairing at the 3rd anti-codon position. The record is from RNAcentral. Lineage: Eukaryota; Metazoa; Arthropoda; Insecta; Orthoptera; Acrididae.
CAAGGGUUAGUUUAUAAAAAUGUUGGUUUUGGGAAUCAAAGAUGGGAUUAUUUUCCUACCCUUGA